GACCCCUUGGCUCAGUGGUAGAGCGUCGCAUUCCAGUGGUCGCAUGGUCGCAAUAUAUUACCCCUCGCGAAGGCCGUCCGUUCAAUCCGGGCAGGGGUCA
Mycena belliarum is the source of this 100-nucleotide non-coding RNA. NCBI's taxonomy places the organism in Eukaryota, Fungi, Basidiomycota, Agaricomycetes, Agaricales, Mycenaceae. The record is from the annotation of a GenBank genome assembly.